ACGCCAGUCUGCAUGGAGCCGGCCUUGAAAUACCACCCUUUAAUGUUUGAUGUUCUAACGUGGACCCGUGAUCCGGGUUGCGGACAGUGUCUGGUGGGUAGUUUGACUGGGGCGGUCUCCUCCUAAAGAGUAACGGAGGAGCACGAAGGUUGGCUAAUCCUGGUCGGACAUCAGGAGGUUAGUGCAAUGGCAUAAGCCAGCUUGACUGCGAGCGUGACGGCGCGAGCAGGUGCGAAAGCAGGUCAUAGUGAUCCGGUGGUUCUGAAUGGAAGGGCCAUCGCUCAACGGAUAAAAGGUACUCCGGGGAUAACAGGCUGAUACCGCCCAAGAGUUCAUAUCGACGGCGGUGUUUGGCACCUCGAUGUCGGCUCAUCACAUCCUGGGGCUGAAGUAGGUCCCAAGGGUAUGGCUGUUCGCCAUUUAAAGUGGUACGCGAGCUGGGUUUAGAACGUCGUGAGACAGUUCGGUCCCUAUCUGCCGUGGGCGCUGGAGAACUGAGGGGGGCUGCUCCUAGUACGAGAGGACCGGAGUGGACGCAUCACUGGUGUUCGGGUUGUCAUGCCAAUGGCACUGCCCGGUAGCUAAAUGCGGAAGAGAUAAGUGCUGAAAGCAUCUAAGCACGAAACUUGCC
Molecule: ribosomal RNA, 631 nt
Filed under: Shigella sonnei
Lineage: Bacteria; Pseudomonadati; Pseudomonadota; Gammaproteobacteria; Enterobacterales; Enterobacteriaceae
Description: partial 23S ribosomal RNA
Rfam family: Bacterial large subunit ribosomal RNA
Source: RNAcentral